This 253-nucleotide ribosomal RNA is filed under the name uncultured bacterium. RNAcentral describes it as "partial 16S ribosomal RNA". It matches the Rfam family "Bacterial small subunit ribosomal RNA", at positions 524 to 776 of the family's 1533-position model. The record is from RNAcentral.
UACGUAGGUGGCGAGCGUUGUCUGGAUUUACUGGGCGUAAAGAGCGCGCAGGCGGUCGUUCAAGUCGCGUGUGAAAGCCCCCGGCUCAACUGGGGAGGGUCACGCGAUACUGAUCGACUCGAAGGCAGGAGAGGGAAGUGGAAUUCCCGGUGUAGUGGUGAAAUGCGUAGAUAUCGGGAGGAACACCAGUGGCGAAGGCGACUUCCUGGCCUGUUCUUGACGCUGAGGCGCGAAAGCUAGGGGAGCAAACGGG